CGAUAGUGGAGGCAGCACAUCUUGAGAGAGUUCAAGAAAACUCCCAGUGUGGUCAAUAAUGAUCCACCUAUAACAGACACAAGAAGGAACAGAAUGAAGUCUUUAUUUGUGAGUUUGUUCCGCAUCAUGUGUAUGGCAAUUAGGGCCAGCAGCACAGAGGUGAAGGGGAUAAGGAAGCCCAGAUUUUUGGCCACGGACUGCUGGAUUUCCCUGUGUGUUCUCCACUCCUCAGUGGCUUCUCCAUUCCUCCUUGGUCUCUCUGGUCUCCUGUGGCUUCCCUCCGGUAACUUCCCCAGAUCCACUCUACCUAUCUCCACACUCUCCACUGCUGGCUGUCAUCAUCAAUAAAGACAUUCCCCUCUA
Siniperca chuatsi (mandarin fish) is the source of this 363-nucleotide long non-coding RNA. RefSeq lists it as uncharacterized. The record is from RefSeq and is a predicted model, not a curated record. Lineage: Eukaryota; Metazoa; Chordata; Actinopteri; Centrarchiformes; Sinipercidae. The transcript has 3 exons.